CCAGGCUCAUGGGAGGCAUGACAUAUAAAAAGAGAACAGAUAUAUUUAUUCACCUCCGUUACUUCCCAGAGACUCCAAGGCUGAAUCCUUUGAUCCGACAUCUCCUUCGAAUCUGCUCCAAUGCCUGCUGUAAUAUGAAAGUUGAGAGCACUGUUUUUCUAGAAGUGACGUGGUUUCUGUUCCCUUUGAAGCUGUCCAUUGAAAUUCUGAUGUCAACACGGAACUGCAGAGAGGAAAAUCAUAUUAGACUUUUCUUGGGGCACAGAGUGAAUUGACAUAAAUAUGAGUUAUCUGUUAAUAUUGUUGUUAUCGCUGCCUGGCCUGAUGACUGUGACUCCUAUCUCCAAUGCUGGACAUUAUAUUCCAUCAACAGAGUUAUGUUUUACCCCUUUGGACAAUAGAAGUUGUUGC
This 411-nucleotide long non-coding RNA is filed under the name Manacus vitellinus (golden-collared manakin). RNAcentral's name for it is "lncRNA (ENSMVIG00005001580.1)". Lineage: Eukaryota; Metazoa; Chordata; Aves; Passeriformes; Pipridae. The record is from RNAcentral.